UCUUGGCUUUUUGCUCCUUAUUUGUUCAACCCAUGCCCAUCUGGGUUUGAGUGGCAGAAGUAAGUGUCUUAAGAGGAUUCCUAUCAUUUUAAGGGUUUCAAAAGAAUCCCAUUUUGGGCAGUUUGGUAAUCAAAUCUGGGAGUUAACACUGAGUACUAAUGGAAUUGAUAUAUUUGUCUUAAGCUGAAAGAUUGGUGGGCAUUUGGGUGGAGUUUGCUUAGUCUACGUUACGUGAAAUUAGAAGAACUUUUUGUUUCUGGGGAGCGCAAAUGUUUCCAAAGAUUGAUUGGAAUACUAUUGCAGUUGAGAUUAUUGAUUUGCUAGCUUGGAUGAAGUGA
RNAcentral lists this long non-coding RNA (338 nucleotides) under Rosa chinensis. RNAcentral describes it as "sRNA RchiOBHm_Chr4g0437661". The record is from RNAcentral. Lineage: Eukaryota; Viridiplantae; Streptophyta; Magnoliopsida; Rosales; Rosaceae.